GUCUGAGAGGUUGUUCUGUCUAGAGUCCAGAGCCUGAGAGGUUGUUCUGUCUAGAGUCCAGAGCCUGAGAGGUUGUUCUGUCUAGAGUCCAGAGCCUGAGAGGUUGUUCUGUCUAGAGUCCAGAGCCUGAGAGGUUGUUCUGUCUAGAGUCCAGAGCCUGAGAGGGUGUUCUGUCUAGAGUCCAGAGCCUGAGAGGUUGUUCUGUCUAGAGUCCAGAGCCUGAGAGGUUGUUCUGUCUAGAGUCCAGAGCCUGAGAGGGUGUUCUGUCUAGGGUCUGAGAGGUUAUUCUGUCUAGGGUCUGAGAGGUUGUUCUGUCUAGAGUCCAGAGCCUGAGAGGUUGUUCUGUCUAGAGUCCAGAGCCUGAGAGGGUGUUCUGUCUAGGGUCUGAGAGGUUAUUCUGUCUAGGGUCUGAGAGGUUGUUCUGUCUAGGCUCCAGAGCCUGAGAGGUUGUUCUGUCCAGAACCUGAGGGGUUGUUCUGUCUAGGGUCUGAGAGGUUGUUCUGUCUAGGUUCUGAGAGGUUGUUCUGUCCAGAACCUGAGAGGUUGUUCUGUCUAGGUUCUGAGAGGUUGUUCUGUCUAGGGUCUGAGAGGUUGUUCUGUCUAGAGUCCAGAGCCUGAGAGGUUGUUCUGUCUAGAGUCUGAGAGGUUGUUCUGUC
Molecule: long non-coding RNA, 656 nt
Organism: Oncorhynchus tshawytscha (Chinook salmon)
Lineage: Eukaryota; Metazoa; Chordata; Actinopteri; Salmoniformes; Salmonidae
Source: Ensembl